RNAcentral lists this transfer RNA (77 nucleotides) under Clostridium sp. RNAcentral describes it as "tRNA-Arg". It matches the Rfam family "tRNA". Rfam says of the family: Transfer RNA (tRNA) molecules are approximately 80 nucleotides in length. Lineage: Bacteria; Bacillati; Bacillota; Clostridia; Eubacteriales; Clostridiaceae. RNAcentral also lists the same sequence under 9 other names. The record is from RNAcentral.
GCGUCAGUAGCUCAGUUGGAUAGAGCAGUUGGCUACGAACCAGCGUGCCGGGGGUUCGACUCCUCUCUGACGCACCA